This 474-nucleotide ribosomal RNA is filed under the name uncultured bacterium. RNAcentral's name for it is "bacterial SSU rRNA". It matches the Rfam family "Bacterial small subunit ribosomal RNA", at positions 26 to 518 of the family's 1533-position model. The record is from RNAcentral.
AGGACGAACGCUGGCGGCGUGCCUAACACAUGCAAGUCGAGCGAGGAGAUCCUCGGGAUGAUCCUAGCGGCGGACGGGUGAGUAACACGUGGGCAACCUGCCUCAUAGAGAGGAAUAGCCUUCCGAAAGGGAGAUUAAUACCUCAUAACAUUGCAGUUUCGCAUGGAACAGCAAUUAAAGGAGCAAUCCGCUAUGAGAUGGGCCCGCGGCGCAUUAGCUAGUUGGUGAGGUAACGGCUCACCAAGGCGACGAUGCGUAGCCGACCUGAGAGGGUGAUCGGCCACAUUGGGACUGAGACACGGCCCAGACUCCUACGGGAGGCAGCAGUGGGGAAUAUUGCACAAUGGGGGAAACCCUGAUGCAAGCAACGCCGCGUGAGUGAUGACGGCCUUCGGGUUGUAAAGCUCUGUCUUCAGGGACGAUAAUGACGGUACCUGAGGAGGAAGCCACGGCUAACUACGUGCCAGCCGCAGC